UGGGGAAUUUUCCGCAAUGGGCGAAAACCCUGACGGAGCAACCCCCGCGUGAGGGGAUGAAGGCCCCUGGGCUGUAAACCUCUUUUAUCAAGGAAGAAGAUCUGACGGUACUUGAUGAAUAAGCCACGGCUAAUUCCCGUGCCAGCAGCCGCGGUAAUACGGGAGUGGCAAGCGUUAUCCGGAAUUAUUGGGCGUAAAGCGUCCGCAGGCGGCUUUUCAAGUCUGCUGUUAAAGCGUGGAGCUUAACUCCAUCAUGGCAGUGGAAACUGAAAGGCUUGAGUAUGGUAGGGGCAGAGGGAAUUCCCGGUGUAGCGGUGAAAUGCGUAGAUAUCGGGAAGAACACCAGUGGCGAAGGCGCUCUGCUGGGCCAUUACUGACGCUCAUGGACGAAAGCCAGGGGAGCGAAAGGGAUUAGAUACCCCUGUAGUCA
Molecule: ribosomal RNA, 430 nt
Filed under: uncultured cyanobacterium
Lineage: Bacteria; Bacillati; Cyanobacteriota
Description: bacterial SSU rRNA
Rfam family: Bacterial small subunit ribosomal RNA
Source: RNAcentral